CGUUGGCGAAAGUUUAAACCCUGUGCGCGUGUUUGUGGUGUUUUUUCCAAUGGUUAAUGGGGUAAAUGGUUAUGGUUCUUCCCUUGGAGAGACUGAACUCUUUAAGGCUAAGGAUUCCAGAAGGGCAGCCUUAUUAAGGUAGGAUUUUUCUUUUUUAUGCAUGGGUCUAUCGUAUUUCUUUUUUUUUAUGUAUUUAGCAGUGAGAGUGGGAAGUGAUUAGUGUACAUACGACUAUAGUGUAGUUGAUUUUCGUAUCAUAGUAAUAAGUGGAGUUGUAAUCAUCUCCUCAGUCGAGCAACUUGGUAAAGUAAAUUGACUGCAAUGAUCCAUUCGCCAAAAUUCACUUUACUGUACAUAGACCAGUAUGACUAUGAAUUCACAGCCAUGCCAGUUUUGUAAAGUAAACUGAUUUUCCCUGAGAAUGCGACUGUUGCAGCAAAUUUCUCCUUUCCCAAGCGAACUGACUUUAAUCAAAUGCAGACCAUUGCUUAACGUUAUACCUCAUUUAUUAUCUACACGAAAAUCAACUUAGAAGAAGGUAAGUGCGAUUGUGUUCAAAAGAAUAGGUUUCCUAAAAUAAGCCUACUAUCUAAUCUUUCCGUGUGUUCGCAGAGCCAUUGCUGCCCUUAUUGGAAGACUUGCGCCACUUGCUUUUACUGAUGAAGAUCCAACGCCACUUUUCUCCUCGAUUCUGUCAAACGAGAGACUGGUAAUGGUAGUAUCACGUGCCUUUACUACAAGACCUUCGCGACCUGCAUCUGCUGGUGAAGAUCCAACUCCUGCCAGAGUCACGUUUGCCCUAAAUCUCGUUGAACGAGAUAUCGGUAAUGGGAAUAUCGUUUGCUCGUACUACAAGAUUUGCGCGACCUGCAUCUACUGGUGAAAAUCCAACUUCUGCUAGACUCACCUACCCUAACUCCUGUUGAACGAGAUAUCGGUAAUGAGAAUUAUCGUUUGGCCUUACUACAAGACUUGCGCGACCUGCAUCUACUCGUGAAGAUCCAACUCCUGCCAGAGCCACGUCUACCCUAAAUCUCGUUGAACGAGAUAUCGUUAAUGGGAAUAUCAUUUGCUCGUACUACAAGAUUUGCGCGACCUGCAUCUACUGGUGAAGAUCCAACUUCUGCUAGACCCACCCACACCAACUCCUGUUGAACGAGGUAUUGGUGCACCUUACCAUGCUCGUUUGCCAGGAGUCGGAGUGCGAUUGUGCCUCCUGUGGAUAAUGGUCCUUCUCGGGAGAGUCCCAAUUAUUAAGGCUAAAGAUUUCAGAUGAGCAGCCUUAUAAAGGUAGGAU
Long non-coding RNA from Photinus pyralis (common eastern firefly), 1297 nucleotides. RefSeq lists it as uncharacterized. NCBI's taxonomy places the organism in Eukaryota, Metazoa, Arthropoda, Insecta, Coleoptera, Lampyridae. The transcript has 8 exons. The record is from RefSeq and is a predicted model, not a curated record.